GAUGAACGCUGGCGGCGUGCUUAACACAUGCAAGUCGAACGGAAAGGCCCUGCUUUUGUGGGGUGCCCGAGUGGCGAACGGGUGAGUAACACGUGAGUAACCUGCCCUUCACUUUGGGAUAACUUCAGGAAACUGGGGCUAAUAUCGGAUAGGAGCCCACGCUGCAUGGUGGGGGUUGGAAAGUUUCGGCGGUUGGGGAUGGACUCGCGGCUUACCAGCUUGUUGGUGGGGUAGUGGCUUACCAAGGCUUUGACGGGUAGCCGGCCUGAGAGGGUGACCGGCCACAUUGGGACUGAGAUACGGCCCAGACGCCUACGGUAGGCAGCAGUGGGGAAUAUGGCACAAUGGGCGGGAGCCUGAUGAAGCAACGCCGCGUGCGGGAUGACGGCCUUCGGGUUGUAAACCGCUUUCGCCUGUGACGAAGCGUGAGUGACGGUAAUGGGUAAAGAAGCACCGGCUAACUACGUG
This 468-nucleotide ribosomal RNA is filed under the name uncultured bacterium. RNAcentral's name for it is "partial 16S ribosomal RNA". It matches the Rfam family "Bacterial small subunit ribosomal RNA", at positions 28 to 507 of the family's 1533-position model. The record is from RNAcentral.